This 562-nucleotide ribosomal RNA is filed under the name uncultured bacterium. Its description in RNAcentral is "partial 16S ribosomal RNA". It matches the Rfam family "Bacterial small subunit ribosomal RNA", at positions 355 to 1376 of the family's 1533-position model. The record is from RNAcentral.
UGGGGAAUCUUAGACAAUGGGGGAAACCCUGAUCUAGCCAUGCCGCGUGAGCGAUGAAGGCCUUAGGGUUGUAAAGCUCUUUCAGCUGGGAAGAUAAUGACGGUACCAGCAGAAGAAGCCCCGGCUAACUCCGUGCCAGCAGCCGCGGUAAUACGGAGGGGGCUAGCGUUGUUCGGAAUUACUGGGCGUAAAGCGCACGUAGGCGGAUUAGUCAGUCAGAGGUGAAAUCCCAGGGCUCAACCCUGGAACUGCCUUUGAUACUGCUAGUCUUGAGGUCGAGAGAGGUGAGUGGAAUUCCGAGUGUAGAGGUGAAAUUCGUAGAUAUUCGGAGGAACACCAGUGGCGAAGGCGGCUCACUGGCUCGAUACUGACGCUGAGGUGCGAAAGCGUGGGGAGCAAAACAGGAUUAGAUACCCUGGUAGUCCACGCCGUAAACGAUGAAUGCCAGUCGUCGGGUUGCAUGCAAUUCGGUGACACACCUAACGGAUUAAGCAUUCCGCCUGGGGAGUACGGUCGCAAGAUUAAAACUCAAAUGAAUUGACGGGGUCAUAGCUGUUUCCUG